GCUUACGGCCAUACCACCCUGAGCACGCCCGAUCUCGUCUGAUCUCGGAAGCAAAGCAGGGUCGGGCCUGGUUAGUACUUGGAUGGGAGACCGCCUGGGAAUACCAGGUGCAGUAAGCU
RNAcentral lists this ribosomal RNA (119 nucleotides) under Neogobius melanostomus (round goby). Lineage: Eukaryota; Metazoa; Chordata; Actinopteri; Gobiiformes; Gobiidae. The record is from RNAcentral.